RNAcentral lists this ribosomal RNA (254 nucleotides) under uncultured bacterium. Its description in RNAcentral is "partial 16S ribosomal RNA". It matches the Rfam family "Bacterial small subunit ribosomal RNA", at positions 524 to 776 of the family's 1533-position model. The record is from RNAcentral.
UACGGGGGGAGCAAGCGUUGUUCGGAUUUACUGGGCGUAAAGGGCGCGUAGGCGGCCACCGCAAGUCGACUGUGAAAUCUCCGGGCUUAACCCGGAAAGGUCAGCCGAUACUGCGGGGCUAGAGUGCAGAAGGGGCAACUGGAAUUCUCGGUGUAGCGGUGAAAUGCGUAGAUAUCGAGAGGAACACCUGCGGCGAAGGCGGGUUGCUGGGCUGACACUGACGCUGAGGUGCGAAAGCGUGGGGAGCAAACAGG